CAAGAUGAGAUUUCCCAUAGCGUAAGCUAGUAAGAUCCCUGAAAGAUGAUCAGGUUGAUAGGUUCGAGGUGGAAGCAUGGUGACAUGUGGAGCUGACGGAUACUAAUAGAUCGAGGACUUAACCAUAUAA
This 130-nucleotide ribosomal RNA is filed under the name Bacillus sp. HY001. RNAcentral's name for it is "partial 23S ribosomal RNA". It matches the Rfam family "Bacterial large subunit ribosomal RNA", at positions 2800 to 2925 of the family's 2925-position model. The record is from RNAcentral. Lineage: Bacteria; Bacillati; Bacillota; Bacilli; Caryophanales; Bacillaceae.